RNAcentral lists this transfer RNA (103 nucleotides) under Caudoviricetes sp. Its description in RNAcentral is "tRNA-Phe". The record is from RNAcentral. Lineage: Duplodnaviria; Heunggongvirae; Uroviricota; Caudoviricetes.
CGGCGUAUAGACAAAAUGGGUAAAGUCAUCGGUUAAAAAUCGUUUAUCUGUUCCACCCUCCACAAAACCGAAAUGUGUCGGGUUCGAAUCCCGGCUACGCCAA